RNAcentral lists this ribosomal RNA (405 nucleotides) under Blastocystis sp. RNAcentral describes it as "bacterial SSU rRNA". It matches the Rfam family "Eukaryotic small subunit ribosomal RNA", at positions 524 to 940 of the family's 1831-position model. The record is from RNAcentral. Lineage: Eukaryota; Bigyra; Opalinata; Blastocystidae.
CGUACAACUCUUAUCGAUAAGCCAUUGGAGGGCAAGUCUGGUGCCAGCAGCCGCGGUAAUUCCAGCUCCAAUAGCGUAUAUUAACGUUGUUGCAGUUAAAAAGCUCGUAGUUGAAGUGAGGGAGUGUGUAGUAGGACCGACUUGAUCGGAACUGCUGCAACCUCCCCCCUCCAAUCGGUGUAGUGGGGUAUUCACUUAUUCUACUACUCCUUUGGUCGUUUACUGUGAGAAAAUUAGAGUGUUCAAAGCGGGCGUUUGUUUGAAUAGAUUAGCAUGGAAUAAUGAUUGAAGGCUUUCGUGUUCGAUUUGAUUGGUUUGUUCAUGGAAGCAAGGUUAAAAGGAACAGUUGGGGGUAUUCAUAUUCACUAGUUAGAGGUGAAAUUCUCGGAUUUAUGGAAGAUGAAC